RNAcentral lists this ribosomal RNA (442 nucleotides) under uncultured bacterium. Its description in RNAcentral is "partial 16S ribosomal RNA". It matches the Rfam family "Bacterial small subunit ribosomal RNA", at positions 338 to 795 of the family's 1533-position model. The record is from RNAcentral.
CCUACGGGUGGCAGCAGUGGGGAAUAUUGGGCAAUGGGCGCAAGCCUGACCCAGCAACGCAGCGUGAAGGAAGAAGGCUUUCGGGUUGUAAACUUCUUUUGUCAGGGAAGAGUAGAAGACGGUACCUGACGAAUAAGCCACGGCUAACUAAGGGCCAGCGCCCGCGGUAAUACGGAGGUGGCAAGCGGUGUGCGGAUGUACUGGGUGGAAAGGGCGUGUAGCCGGGUUGACAAGUCAGAUGUGAAAUCCUGCGGCCUAACCGCAGCACUGCAUUUGAAACUGUUGGUCUUGAGUACUGGAGAGGCAGAUGGAAUUCGUAGUGUAGCGGUGAAAUGCGUAGAUAUUAGGAGGAACACCAGCGGCGAAGGCAGUCUGCUGGACAGCAACUGACGGUGAGGCGCGAAAGCGUGGGGAGCAAACAGGAGUAGAUACCCUGGUAGUC